RNAcentral lists this ribosomal RNA (468 nucleotides) under uncultured bacterium. RNAcentral's name for it is "partial 16S ribosomal RNA". It matches the Rfam family "Bacterial small subunit ribosomal RNA", at positions 28 to 507 of the family's 1533-position model. The record is from RNAcentral.
GACGAACGCUGGCGGCGUGCUUAACACAUGCCAGUCGAACGGAAAGGCCCUGCUUUUGUGGGGUGCUCGAGUGGCGAACGGGUGAGUAACACGUGAGUAACCUGCCCUUGACUUUGGGAUAACUUCAGGAAACUGGGGCUAAUACCGGAUAGGAGCUCCUGCUGCAUGGUGGGGGUUGGAAAGUUUCGGCGGUUGGGGAUGGACUCGCGGCUUAUCAGCUUGUUGGUGGGGUAGUGGCUUACCAAGGCUUUGACGGGUAGCCGGCCUGAGAGGGUGACCGGCCACAUUGGGACUGAGAUACGGCCCAGACUCCUACGGGAGGCAGCAGUGGGGAAUAUUGCACAAUGGGCGGAAGCCUGAUGCAGCAACGCCGCGUGCGGGAUGACGGCCUUCGGGUUGUAAACCGCUUUCACCUGUGACGAAGCGUGAGUGACGGUAAUGGGUAAAGAAGCACCGGCUAACUACGUG